RNAcentral lists this long non-coding RNA (1022 nucleotides) under Microcebus murinus (gray mouse lemur). RNAcentral describes it as "lncRNA (ENSMICG00000048576.1)". Lineage: Eukaryota; Metazoa; Chordata; Mammalia; Primates; Cheirogaleidae. The record is from RNAcentral.
CUUCUCCCACCUGGCCGAGCUGGCCAGGGGCUCCGAUGGGUGGUCGAUCUCUGUUUUCUCAGGAGGGCAAAUUGAAAGGUAUGGCCCACAUGCAGGGACGGGACCCCGCUUUAUUUCCUGGUCCCUUUCGCCUACGUGAAAGCACUCGCGUGGAGAUCGAAGAGCAGACGCCCCCUGUGGAAUCUUAGCGAUCUUUCUUAUCAAAGACCGGGCUGGCCACCCAGCCAGCCACGGGAUACGGCGUGCUCGACCCUUGUGGGUUCCCUCAUCCACCCAGCAAGCCCUUUGGAGCCUACGGCUGAGCCGGCUCCAGCCGCGCGCAGCGUCCGUCAUUUCGGAAAGAAAGCGACGUGGCUCUACGUUUCAAAUGCUGAACUUCCCACGUGGGUGGCAGUGGCCAGCCUCCCGGGUCCUCGGUGGGUUUCCAUGGUCUUUGAGGUGAUGAUGAAUGAUGACGCAGCGGGUGUGCCAGGGAGACCUUGAGUCAGGGGCCUCGGGACAAGGCAUUUCUAUGCCAUGCUCGUGGGCGAUGUGAGCGUAAUGCCUCUGGUGUUCCACGUGGCCAGACAGACGUGGAACGUGAAAUCCUAAGAGCGCUUGCAAGGAGAGGUUCCAUUCGGCAAAUUGUGUUUCCCCUUGUACUCUGCAGAUCGUGCUGUACGCGAUCGCGGGGGCGUUCGCCGGCGGAGUGGGGAAGUGCUGGUCUGUCCACGUGCGGUGGCCCGCCUACGCGGGCGGGACCACCAGAAGUCACUCCCGAGGAAGACGCGGCCAGGAUCUGGAUUUCGCGCGGGCGAGUUCACUCUUGUCCCUGGAGACCUGACGAGAAGGAAGGCCGUGCCGGAGGUCAUUCUUCCAUCCCGUCCCCUCGGGCCUGCUGCGGGCAUUCCGGUAUCGGUGAGCCGUGUGUUCUGAAGUGUGACUCAGUUUCCUCGGGGCACCGUGAACUCCUAGUGACAGGGAGAGCCCGGCAAUUUUGGUUCCUCUCGAGGCUGGCGCCUGGUUGCGUAGAUCGCCACUAG